This 254-nucleotide ribosomal RNA is filed under the name uncultured bacterium. RNAcentral's name for it is "partial 16S ribosomal RNA". It matches the Rfam family "Bacterial small subunit ribosomal RNA", at positions 524 to 776 of the family's 1533-position model. The record is from RNAcentral.
GACGUAGGGCGCGAGCGUUGUCCGGAUUUAUUGGGCGUAAAGAGCUCGUAGGCGGCUUGUCGCGUCGACUGUGAAAACCCGUGGCUCAACCAUGUGGUCUGCAGUCGAUACGGGCAGGCUAGAAUUCGGUAGGGGAGACUGGAAUUCCUGGUGUAGCGGUGAAAUGCGCAGAUAUCAGGAGGAACACCGGUGGCGAAGGCGGGUCUCUGGGCCGUAACUGACGCUAAGGAGCGAAAGCGUGGGGAGCGAACAGG